ACAUUGGUGCUUCAGUGGUAGAAUGCCUGCCUUCCAUGUGGAAGACCCAGGUUUGAUUCCUGGCCAAUGCA
This 71-nucleotide transfer RNA is filed under the name Loxodonta africana (African savanna elephant). It matches the Rfam family "tRNA". Rfam says of the family: Transfer RNA (tRNA) molecules are approximately 80 nucleotides in length. Their secondary structure includes four short double-helical elements and three loops (D, anti-codon, and T loops). The record is from Rfam by way of RNAcentral. Lineage: Eukaryota; Metazoa; Chordata; Mammalia; Proboscidea; Elephantidae.